Molecule: ribosomal RNA, 253 nt
Filed under: uncultured bacterium
Lineage: Bacteria
Description: partial 16S ribosomal RNA
Rfam family: Bacterial small subunit ribosomal RNA
Source: RNAcentral
UACGAAGGUGGCAAGCGUUGUCCGGAUUUACUGGGCGUAAAGCGCCCGCAGGCGGCUUGGUAAGUUUCAGGUGAAAUCUCCCGGCUCAACCGGGAGGGGUCUUGGAAAACUGCCAGGCUUGAGGCAGGGAGGGGGAUGCGGAAUUCCAGGUGUAGCGGUGAAAUGCGUAGAUAUCGGGAGGAACACCAGCGGCGAAGGCGGCAUCCUGGCCCUGACCUGACGCUCAGGGGCGAAAGCGUGGGGAGCGAACCGG